This 609-nucleotide ribosomal RNA is filed under the name uncultured bacterium. RNAcentral describes it as "bacterial SSU rRNA". It matches the Rfam family "Bacterial small subunit ribosomal RNA", at positions 338 to 947 of the family's 1533-position model. The record is from RNAcentral.
CCUACGGGAGGCAGCAGUAAGGAAUAUUGGUCAAUGGACGAAAGUCUGAACCAGCCAUGCCGCGUGAAGGAUUAAGGCCCUCUGGGUUGUAAACUUCUUUUAUCUGGGACGAAAAAAGGGUAUUCUUACUCACUUGACGGUACCAGAGGAAUAAGCACCGGCUAACUCCGUGCCAGCAGCCGCGGUAAUACGGAGGGUGCAAGCGUUAUCCGGAUUUACUGGGUUUAAAGGGUGCGUAGGUGGGCUUGUAAGUCAGUGGUGAAAUCUCCGGGCUUAACCCGGAAACUGCCAUUGAUACUAUAGGUCUUGAAUUAUCUGGAGGUAAGCGGAAUAUGUCAUGUAGCGGUGAAAUGCUUAGAUAUGACAUAGAACACCAAUUGCGAAGGCAGCUUACUACGGAUAUAUUGACACUGAGGCACGAAAGCGUGGGGAUCAAACAGGAUUAGAUACCCUGGUAGUCCACGCCCUAAACGAUGGAUACUCGACAUCAGCGAUACACUGUUGGUGUCUGAGCGAAAGCAUUAAGUAUCCCACCUGGGAAGUACGAUCGCAGAUUGAAACUCAAGGAAUUGACGGCUGAGACGNGACGAGACGACGACGAGGAGGAGG